UGGGGAAUAUUGCACAAUGGGCGCAAGCCUGAUGCAGCCAUGCCGCGGGUAUGAAGAAGGCCUUCGGGUUGUAAAGUACUUUCAGUGGGGAGGAAGGCGAUAAGGUUAAUAACCUUGUCGAUUGACGUUACCCGCAGAAGAAGCACCGGCUAACUCCGUGCCAGCAGCCGCGGUAAUACGGAGGGUGCAAGCGUUAAUCGGAAUUACUGGGCGUAAAGCGCACGCAGGCGGUCUGUCAAGUCGGAUGUGAAAUCCCCGGGCUUAACCUGGGAACUGCAUUCGAAACUGGCAGGCUAGAGUCUUGUAGAGGGGGGUAGAAUUCCAGGUGUAGCAGUGAAAUGAGUAGAGAUCUGGAGGAAUACCGGUGGCGAAGGCGGCCCCCUGGACAAAGACUGCCGCUCAGGUGCGAAAGCGUGGGGAGCAAACAGG
RNAcentral lists this ribosomal RNA (429 nucleotides) under Chloroflexota bacterium. RNAcentral describes it as "Chloroflexi bacterium partial 16S ribosomal RNA". It matches the Rfam family "Bacterial small subunit ribosomal RNA", at positions 355 to 776 of the family's 1533-position model. Lineage: Bacteria; Bacillati; Chloroflexota. The record is from RNAcentral.